AGCGAACGCUGGCGGCAUGCUUAACACAUGCAAGUCGCACGGGCAGCAAUGUCAGUGGCGGACGGGUGAGUAACGCGUAGGUAUCUAUCCUUGGGUGGGGGACAACUGUGGGAAACUACAGCUAAUACCGCAUGACAACUGAGGUUUAAAGGCGCAAGUCGCCUGGGGAGGAGCCUGCGUACGAUUAGCUAGUUGGUGGGGUAAAGGCCUA
RNAcentral lists this ribosomal RNA (211 nucleotides) under uncultured bacterium. RNAcentral describes it as "partial 16S ribosomal RNA". It matches the Rfam family "Bacterial small subunit ribosomal RNA", at positions 29 to 267 of the family's 1533-position model. The record is from RNAcentral.